AGCUUGAGGAAAAGUGCUGGGGAAGCUCUUUCCUAGGAUUUGACAUUGAAAAAUGACCUUUAGGAACAUCUGAAAAGGUUUGUACUGUUCAUCUUGAGGACAAACCCCAUGGCUUUCAAGGCUGAGUGCCGUUGCUGCGUUUGUUUCAACAUACGGGAUUUGGGUUUGGUUUUUUUAAUAAGAGACUUAACCUUUUGCAUGUUUGAUUUCAAGCGCUGCUCAAAUACCUUGCCAGGAAAAAUAAUGUCCCUGCUCAGCUGAGUGUAAGCAGGUGGUGCUGAGAUUGCCUGAAUUAUGUUGAGUACCUUUGGUAAUUCAAGACUGAACCUCAGCUGGGCCAGAACGGCAGUUACCCAGCUGGAAAAGAAGUGGAAUCUCCUAAUCUGCAGUCAUGGGACCAGGAAUCCAGGCUGGAUUGUAGCUCCUCAAUUGUUAGGGCAUGACUUCACGUUCCCAGGCUGUGCAGAAGCCGUGCCCACACCAUCACGGGUUCCAACAGAGCCACAGACCCCUCCUGCUGACACCGGAGUUACACCGGAGCCACAGACCCCUCCUGCUGCGGGCGCUCCUGGGGCUGAACGCAUGCGCGGGAGCUGAGCCCGUGGCUCUGCGGGUCUGUGGGUCGUUUGCUGCCCGUGCACGGUUUCCUCUGCACAGCCGUCGAGAGCCUCCCAUCCCACGGUGCCUCGGCACAGCAGCCCAGAGGAUGCCGCAGCCCUGAUAAUGAGGAUGGUGAUGCAGCGAGGAAGGCUGGUAGGCAUCGGCACUCUGUCCCGGCUUCCGUUGCUUGGGCUUUUUUACCCGCUAAUCAGCCAGGUAUUAUUCUGCAGUGAGUUCAAUCCCGUCUCUCUGAGAGGGCUGUCUGGCACCCAGCAAGAGGACAAAGUGGGUGAUUACUUUUUGUGCUCUCAGAGAUAAGGAGCUUGAGAGAGGCGCGCGGCCUCACCGAGAAAGGAUGAAGCCAUUCAUAGGCUGAAGUUAAAAGAGUGUGAAGAAAGAUAAGGAGCUAAAAUGAGAAUAAAAUGAAGGUAGCAGACCGGCCCAGACAAGUAAUCAACAGAAAUUCAUAAGCUUGUCAGGCACAGGCGAUGGGAGUGGAGUCAGGAGCCCAGAAAGUAGAAUGGGAUUGCUAGUACUGAACCAGAGCAAAUUGAAAUUAAUUCUUCUCCAUGUGUUUUUGCAGAAGCGGGAGCUGCUGCCCGUCCACCGUGAGGCAGAGACCUGCAUCACUUCUUGGUGCAGAAAGGCCCUGCCCAACGCCCUGGUGCCCAUUGACCGGUGCCGCUGCGAGGAGCUGCAGGACGCGGUGGUGGAGAGGUGGCAGGUUGGAGCCCUCUGCCUCAUCGGACCCACCAGGAGACUCCUUCCAAGCUGGUCCAUAGCAAACCCUCCUCCAGGGAUGCAGUGUUCUCCUCCGCGCUCCAGCCAGGAGAGGCACACGAACGAUACGGCACAUGCACAGCCAGCUUCGCGUCAAGGCAAUGAUCUAUUCAUUUAUUUCUACGUCUACAAUGCUCCAAGUUCUUCAGCAGCUCCAAGAGGAAGCAGCAGCUCAGCAGCCACCAGAGAAUCGCUCGGAGCCUCUUACCUACCAGGCAGUAGCUUUCAAAAAAAAAAUCUGCUUACCAAGGACUGGCUUUGGCUCUUUCUCAAGAGCUCCUUCCAAAUCCAAGGUCUGUCUGGCAGUCUCCACGCUAAUAAACACUCGCGCAUUAGUAGUUGUGGAGUUUUCAUCUUCUGCUGAGGAGGUAUGAAUUAUGCAGCAGGGGAGAGCGUGAGUUAGUGGUGUGUAAAUCACUCGGUGGCACCAGCUCCCCUCGCCUGCAGGUACGCGGUGCAGAGCUGCGAGGAGCCCUGGGCUGCUCUGCCAACCUGACUCCGGCUGCCUGCAAGUCAGCACAAGGGCUCCUGCGCGGGUUUGUGCC
Cuculus canorus (common cuckoo) is the source of this 1925-nucleotide long non-coding RNA. RefSeq lists it as uncharacterized. The record is from RefSeq and is a predicted model, not a curated record. Lineage: Eukaryota; Metazoa; Chordata; Aves; Cuculiformes; Cuculidae. The transcript is spliced from 3 exons.